AUUGAACGCUGGCGGCAUGCUUUACACAUGCAAGUCGAACGGUAACAGGUUAAGCUGACGAGUGGCGAACGGGUGAGUAAUGCAUCGGAACGUGCCCGAUCGUGGGGGAUAACGCAGCGAAAGCUGCGCUAAUACCGCAUACGAUCUGAGGAUGAAAGCGGGGGACCGUAAGGCCUCGCGCGAUCGGAGCGGCCGUGGUCAGAUUAGGUAGUGGGGGGGGUAAAGGCUCACCAAGCCGACGAUCUGUAGCUGGUCUGAGAGGACGACCAGCCACGCUGGGAGUGAGACACGUCCCAGACUCCUGUGGGAGGCAGCAGUGGGGAAUUUUGGACAAUGGGCGCAAGCCUGAUCCAGCAAUGCCGCGUGCAGGAAGAAGGCCUUCGGGUUGUAAACGGCUUUUGUACGGAGCGAAAAGGUCCUUUCUAAUACAGAGGGCUCAUGACGGUACCGUAAGAAUAAGCACCGGCUAACUACGUGCCAGCCGCCGCCGUAA
RNAcentral lists this ribosomal RNA (493 nucleotides) under uncultured bacterium. RNAcentral describes it as "partial 16S ribosomal RNA". It matches the Rfam family "Bacterial small subunit ribosomal RNA", at positions 29 to 523 of the family's 1533-position model. The record is from RNAcentral.